AGCGUGAGUGGGGGAGCGGCAGAGAGAGAGGGAGAUACAGGAUCUGAAGCAGGCUCCAGGCUCUGAGCUGUCAGCACAGAGCCCGACGUGGGGCUUGAACUCAUGAACUGUGAGAUCAUGACCCGAGCCGAAGUUGGACGCUCAACCACUGAGCCAGCCAGGUGCCCCUCCACGAAAGAAUUUUAGGAAUCUGUAUAUUGUCUUUACUUCCAAAGAAUCUUCCAGAGGCUAGGGGGGUUUGCAUGACAGCCUCAGAUGACUGAGGCCAGCCUGACCUGCUCUGCAUUUCCAAGAAGUUCCAGCCUUUCUAGGAAUAGAUGCUGUUAGAUUCAGGGUGCCAACUGGCCCUUUUUGCUUUUAUUCAAGGCAUGAGAUAAGCUACCAAGGGACUCUCCACACUGCAAUGAACAUUCAGACUCCUAAACUGGUCCAUGAUUGAUUAGGAAAAUGAGAGCAUCUACAGAUGUUCUGGUGUCCUCAUGGAGGACCAGCGGUGACUCCCUAUUGAUCCUGACAUCCGAUACAAGCGUCUUCACUGACUGCCAAUUGCUCAGCCCAUCUUUCAAAUCUAAUUUUCAUUACAACUCAGCAUUAACACUCAGAGAGACACAGAAUGUGAAAAGGGGAGGGGCAGAGAGAGGGGGACACACAGAAUCCGAAGUAAGCUCCAGGCUCUGAGCUGUCAGCACAGAACCCGAUGCAGAGCUCAAACUCACAGACCACGAGAUCAUGACCUGAACCAAAGUUGGACCCAGGCGCCCCUGGCCACCUUUUUAAAGAUUAGAGCCAUGGAAAUGACUAUGGUAGGCAACAAAGGCCACAUGGAAGGUGUUAUGGACCAUGACAAGAAGAGGACACUGGAUAAAUCUUUGCAACUGAAGGGAAGGAGGCAAGCCAUUUUCCCAGAUUCCUUUAUUGGUAAGUGAGGCCAUGCAAUCAAGAUCUCUCCAAUGAAAUGCGAGCAGAAGUGACGUGCCACCAUUUUGACUGGUUUAUAAAAUCUCUAUACAUGACUACUCCUUUAUUCUCCCUCUUUUGGCUUCCUGGGACUUCAAUAUCCAUCAUGACCUUACAAGCUAUGUGUCGAAGACAGAGCUUGGGUCCCCGAGCUUCACUGCUAUCCCAAACUCUCACCCUGGACUAUUAAAUGAAGAAGAAAUCAUCUUCUUGUUGGCUAUGUUGUUCUAUGCUGUUGAAAUGUGAUAUAUAUAUUAGUUAUAGACAUAGACAAUUAGAUAUAUUACUGCAACCUACUCUAACACUAAUUGAGAGAGAGCACUUAGCCAAAAUCUAUUCUCAUUGCACCUAUGGGAAUGUUUUUCUCCUAACAGUUAAUCUGACUGUGGGGUGUGGUUAUUUGUCUUGUUGUUUUUCUGCAGCAUCCAAACAACUUUACUACUUUAAGAGAAAAUCCCCAAAGAGAUGGAACAAAGGGCCCUCCCUGUCUCAAUCUAUGGAUGCCAAAGUGGGGCAGAUAUUUCUUUUCCUCAUCUCUGGCAACUAGCAUAGGUGUUUGACCACAGCCUGACCCAUCAGAUACUCUACUACUUUGAAUCUUGAGCAAGUGGUACAAAGAUGCGAGGGUCCUCAGAGGUUUUUCAUGGCACUUUUGGUGUCAAAAAUUGCGUUGUGUGGGAGUGAAUGGCCAGUGGUGAUGAGUAGUGUUGCACCAGCAGUGUCUUUCCUUCUUUUGGAAUGUUCUUGGCCAUGUGUUGUUUCUGUUCCCUUUUCUUAACUGUGGUAGUUUAUACUGUUCAAUUAAACUAUGUCUUCUAGAAUUUCCUUUUCUGUAUGUAACAAGUUAUAGUGGGCAAAAGAGGAAUUUGUGGAGCGCCUGCGUGUCUCAGUUGGUUAAGCAUCUGACCCUUGACUUUGACUCAUGUCAUGGUCUCAUGGUUCGUGAGGUCAAGCCCCGCAUGAUCUAUACAGAUCUCUCUCCCCCUCUCUCUCUGCCCCUCCCCUGCUCUCUCUGUCUCAAAAUAAAUGAAUAAGCUUUAAAAAAAAAAAAAGAAGAAGAAUUUGUGUAAGACUGUGAACUCGGAAGGCAGAAGUGAAACAACAAACGUUACUCUCUGAAGGUCUUCAUGACUAGAUGCGGUGACAGAAUUAAAGGUUCCAGGCAGUACUUGCUCUCUUACCUCCCACCUCCAGCUUUUCUUCCCAAUUAGUGGCCCUUUGACUAACAGCAGCCUCAGGACCACCACCAUUCAUUUGGUGUGUGGCUCGCUGAAGAGAAGCCCAGCUUCCUUAGGUAAUCCCACAAGCCUUGGGAUCCCACUUUGGUGGCUGAAUGUGCUUGGUGGUUGAUCCUCUCUGAUCCUCCCACUUCCUACUGGACGCCCACUUCCCAGCAACUCCUAUAAUUGUCUUUUGGCCUAAUUUCCAUAAUAAAUUCCUCAUCAUAAAACACACAUGGUUCUGCUUCUAACAUCUCCCUGUUGAUCUCUGAAAACCCACACUGUUCACCCUGGCCAGCAAGGCCUUCUGUGACCAAGGCUCUGACUCUCCAGCAUCAUCUUGUGAAGUUCUUGUGCUUCAAACUGAGUUUCACUCUAGAAUACUCUAGCCUCUGUGUAUCUUAUAUAGUUUCACACCUCUGUGCUUUUUGCUUAUUCUGUUUUUCCCCUCAAAAUACACUCCUUUUGCACUUUUGUGUAAUUAAUUUCUGUUGCCUCCUCAAGCUUAGGCCCAGGUAUUAUCUCCUCCAACAGUAUUUGGGUGUCACCAUGGACCAGGUUAAGUGCCCCUCCCUUGGGCUUCCAUUGGCCUCUCCAUGAUGUCCCAUAUACAUUGUUUUGAACCCUGCUAUUUCCCCUCCCUGGACUAUAUCUUUCUUGGAGACAGGAACUAUGUCACAUUCGUUUUUAAAUCCUUAGUGUCUGUACAGAGCCUAACACAAAAUAGGCUUCCAAAGUGUUUUUUAAAGUCAGCAGAACUAGCUGUUCUAAAUGAGUUUGCCUUGAUAAAUUACAUCUCGGUAUCUUCAGAAAAUCAACACAAGGCUAAGACACCAUGUAUAAUAAGAACAAGCAAAUGGAGGUAAAUAUGGUAGAAAAUGGGUGGUUAAGGUAGUGGAUUUUAGGCCUCAAUAAAUAAAGAAACAGUAAUCACUGGAAAUCAGCAAAGGGUCCCCAAGAAAUUAUUUGUUGGUUCCCAGUCAUUUAUGAAAGAUAUUCUUUGAGCCAGGCACUGUAUUAGACACUCAACAUACAAAGGUAGCUAAUUUUAGCCCUGAAGUGAGUUCAAGUUUCAUGGGACAGCCACACCUGAGCAGCAUCUGCAUAGGUAUAGUAAUAGCUGCCUUCAUGACCUAUGGAAAACUUUACCCUAAAGCUGGUGAUUAAUAGAUCAGUGUUUACCCGAAGACACACUUAAAGUAACAAGCACUGAUCUUUUUCUCUUUUCUCUUCACCUACUUUUGUUAGUGAUAUAUAUCAUGAUAUUGGAGAGAGAGUUAUAUCGGUGGCUGAAUCAAAGUUGGGAGGGAUGGUAAAGAUGUAAGUAGGAUCUACAACUCUUUGUGGUUGCAAUAAUAAAAACAAAAUUCAAUCAGAUGAAUGUAACGUUCUGUACACGAGCCUUAAGUGCCAGUGUCCCUAGGUACAGGUUACCGCAAGAUGCAUUCCAACGGGAAAGAACUUUCUAACAAUCGGAGCCAUUGUCCAGAAGUGGAACAGACUAUCCUGGGACAUCACGUGCUGCCCUCACCGGAGCUCUGAAGCAGAGGCCGGAAACCCCCGUGGAUGCGGUGAGAUCUCAGCGUUGUGUUGUUUCACACACCCUGGCCUCAACCACAUGAAGAAUCUUAUUUGUCUGUUGUUGGGUCAAGAGAUGUUCCCUCCAGCUGUUGAGAAUCUUGUCGCCUGGGUAAAAUAACAGGGCAUAUUUUACAAGAGCUAUUAAAAUGGGCUGUAAGUGUGCUGUGAGGCACCAGGCCAACAGCUGGAUGGAAAUGGCAGGUUCUGGGCCAGCUGAAACCCUGCUUUCAAGUGUUGCAUGUUGCGCACACACACAUAAACACACACAUGUGCGCACACGCAUGCACACAACCAGCUUGGGAAUGUUAAACGGCUCCAGAUUUAUUUUUUAAUAUGAACUAAAAUGUGGAGUGUGGCCUAGAGGUACACAGAACCCGGCGAGCCUGCCCCUUCACGCCACAGGCCGGAGGCAUCUGGCCCAGGCCUAAAAGCUGCUGGAGCUCGGCGAAGAUGAAGGGUUCGGGAAGGCAUGCCCUCCUCCUCAGCCAGGUGACCGGGCAGAGGAACCGCAGAGCAACCCGGGCCGUCACAGCAUCUGGGUGAUUACCUAGUCAGACUGCCACCGCACAACAGUGAGAUCUCUCUUCUUCAGGCAGUCAACGUCCCUUGGUGAGUCAUUAGAAAAAGUAAGAUGCUACCUAGAUUCUACAUAAAAUACAAACACUUGUAUUUUAUGUUCCAUCCCUCAGCCAUCAUGUUCCUGUCUCACAAAAGUCACAGAUUUACUCCGGUCAUGACCGAAAGGAAAGGGUGGCGGAAUGGUAACACAUUGCUCUGCAGCUUCCAGAAUGUCGUCUUAGGGAAACGGGCAGUAUCUUAGGCGGGACUGGGGACUGCCGUUUGCAAGCUUUCGGUUUAAAAUGAUUAAUAAGGGGAGGCGGGAGGCAGGAGGAAGAGGUGUCGUUUUUGUCUCUGCUAUUGUUCUGCAGUCGUUUCUGUGAUGUUCGGAACGACACUUAAUCAGUCGGGGCCCCUGUUUAUCAGCUCGCCCAAGACAGGCCAUGGGAUUUAUUUUGUCAAUGAGCCUUGUUGUCUUUCAGCAGCCUCCAUUCCAGAGAGGAGCGUUUACUACUUGGCUCUCUGAACAAUGUCUGAUAGAGCUAAUAGCUUGCGGCUUUUUAUCCGUAUCCACAUUUUCUAUCUCGCCCAUAGCGCUGAAGGUGGAGUUGAGUGAAAUGUUUGCACUUGCUGAAAGUCUGAACUCAGACAAGGUGUCAGGAUUUUCUUAGUGGGACCAGAGGCUGUCAGGCUGAUUUGAUAGGGUGCUAUUGCCAAAAUCAAAAUACAUCUGAACAGAUAGCUGCUUCUGAUGACUCGGAGAAGCAGUAGUCAAAGCAGUACCAUGAGAAUUCGUCUUCAGAACCAUCAGACUGCCCUUGCCUUUGGAGACAUACGCCUCUCCCUUCUGCCUCCAUCUUCGGGAGCUCCACGCUGUCUCCUGUGCUCUCCUACCUAUUAUAGCCGGUGCCGAGCAAAGAAGGGUAACACGGAACAAAUCGACCUACCUUCUCCACUUGACAGCUUUCCAAAUAUCUGAGGAGAGUAACCACAUCUUUCCUUCGCCUCCUUUUUGCCAAGUUAAUCAUUCCCGGUUCUUUCAUUUGUUCCUCAUUUGACAUGGUUUCCAGAUUCUGUCAGACAUUUUCCCUCCCCACCGCCCAUCUGGACUGCCAACCCUGAACAAACUCUAGUUUCCCAAUGCUAUAGAAUAUGGUAUCAGAGACGGAACACAAUUCUCCAAGGUUCCAGAACUGACAUAGAGAUAGCACAUGACCUAGAAUUUGGUAUCUAUACUUCCUUUGAUGGGGUUUGCUAGCUACCCCAGCUUUCUUUCGGUGAAAAUUUUUUAGACAUACUGUGCAUCAAGCAUGGCACUGGAGAGACAAUAAUGAACAAGACCCAGUCCUCACCCUUGAAGAAUCUGUAGCAGAGAUCCACUCACCUAUGAACAUCAUAUGAGGUGAACACACAGCGAUAGGCCCGUGAAUAAGGUACAGGAGGGAGAGGUUAACAGUGACGGACUUUGCAGAGGAAGUAGUACUAAGCAGAGAUUCGACUGCUGCCAAGCCAGGUCUUUCCUUCUGAUUGUAGAUUUUCAAGUAUAGAAGUGCACUUUUUUUCUGGUAGCUGUCAAAUGACAGACUGUUCACUUUUAAAGGGAGUUCAGAGCUCCAACUUCAGUGACUAUGGAACUUCAACUCCACCUUCUCUAGGAUGAGACCAGCACAGCCAGUGCACCUGGAAUUCUGAAGAAUUCUGCUACUAGAUAUCAUUUUGUUACUUAAAAGGCCUCUAGAACUUACACUUGACGUGAUCUUUUCGGCUGGUACCAGCAUCCUGUUAGGGACCCUUGGUCUUACUUCUCCGAAAGGUGAUAGCAAAGGUUCAAAUCUACAAAGUCAACCAUGUUGUUAAGGAAUACACACUCGCAGAUGACACUUUGGGAAAAAAAUGUAAACAUGAAUUUAUAGCAAAGAUCUGUCACCAAAUUCUGGUUUGGUGACUUACCCCAGGAAUUGGGUGGCUGUUAAUAAUUUUCU
Molecule: long non-coding RNA, 6298 nt
Organism: Neofelis nebulosa (Clouded leopard)
Lineage: Eukaryota; Metazoa; Chordata; Mammalia; Carnivora; Felidae
Exons: 7
Source: RefSeq, a predicted model, not a curated record